CUACGGGGGGCUCCAGUAGGGAAUUUUGCGCAAUGGGCGAAAGCCUGACGCAACAACACCGCGUGUGGGAUGAAGCUUUUCGGAGUGUAAACCACUGUCAGAGGGGACGAAACCUGACGGUACCCUCAAAGGAAGCAUCGGCUAACUACGUGCCAGCAGCCGCGGGUAAGACGUAGGAUGCAAGCGUUGUCCGGAAUUAUUGGGCGUAAAGCGUUCGUAGGCGGCCGGUAAAGUCUGAUGUUAAAGCCCGGGGCUCAACUCCGGUUCAGCAUUGGAUACUUACAAGCUAGAGUGCAGGAGAGGAAAGGGGAAUUCCUAGUGUAGCGGUGAAAUGCGUAGAUAUUAGGAGGAACACCGGUGGCGAAAGCGCCUUGCCGGACUGUUACUGACGCUGAGGGACGAAAGCCAGGGGAGCAAAUGGGAUUAGAUACCCUAGUAGUC
This 441-nucleotide ribosomal RNA is filed under the name uncultured bacterium. RNAcentral's name for it is "partial 16S ribosomal RNA". It matches the Rfam family "Bacterial small subunit ribosomal RNA", at positions 339 to 795 of the family's 1533-position model. The record is from RNAcentral.